UACGUAGGUGGCAAGCGUUGUCCGGAUUUACUGGGUGUAAAGGGCGUGUAGACGGGUAAGCAAGUCAGAUGUGAAAUACCGCAGCUUAACUGCGGGGCUGCAUUUGAAACUGCGUAUCUUGAGUGCGGGAGAGGAAAGCGGAAUUCCUAGUGUAGCGGUGAAAUGCGUAGAUAUUAGGAGGAACACCAGUGGCGAAGGCGGCUUUCUGGACCGUAACUGACGUUGAGGCGCGAAAGCGUGGGUAGCAAAC
RNAcentral lists this ribosomal RNA (250 nucleotides) under uncultured prokaryote. RNAcentral's name for it is "partial 16S ribosomal RNA". It matches the Rfam family "Bacterial small subunit ribosomal RNA", at positions 524 to 773 of the family's 1533-position model. The record is from RNAcentral.